RNAcentral lists this ribosomal RNA (1426 nucleotides) under marine metagenome. Its description in RNAcentral is "bacterial LSU rRNA". It matches the Rfam family "Bacterial large subunit ribosomal RNA", at positions 875 to 2313 of the family's 2925-position model. The record is from RNAcentral.
AGCAGCCUUCGGUAUAAGUGUUAUAGAGGUAGAGCUACGAAUUGGGUAAGGGGGCUUCAUCGCCUACCGAACUCAGAUAAACUCCGAAUACUAUAACAUGUUCCCGAGGAGUGAGGGCAUGGGUGCUAAGGUCCUUGUCCGAGAGGGAAACAACCCAGACCAUCAGUUAAGGUCCCUAAAUCUAUUCUAAGUUGAGCUAACGAGGUUCAAUUGCAUUGACAGCUAGGAUGUUGGCUUGGAAGCAGCCAUUCAUUUAAAGAGUGCGUAACAGCUCACUAGUCGAGCGAUCGUGCGUGGAUAAUAAGCGGGCAUUAAGUAUAUUACCGAAGAUAUGGAUUCAGCGUAAGCUGUCUGGUAGGGGAGCAUUCUAUAUGCGUUGAAUGUGUGGUGCGAACCAUGCUGGAGCGUAUAGAAAAGCAAAUGUAGGAAUAAGUAACGAUAAUGCAGGCGAGAAACCUGCACACCGAAAGACUAAGGUUUCCUGGGCUACGUUAAUCGUCCCAGGGUUAGUCGGGACCUAACGCGAACCCGAAGGGGGUAGUGGAUGGCGAACUGGUUAAUAUUCCAGUACUUGUUGUAACUGCGAUGGGGUGACGGAUUAAUGAAAGUACCGCGUACUGACGGAAUAGUACGUUAAAGAGUGUAGGCGUUGAUCGGGAUAGGCAAAUCCGUCCUGAGAGUCGAACUUGAUAGUACCGAGAGGCUUCGGCCAAUUGGAUAGUGUAUGUAAGAGAUCCCGAGAAAAACCUCUAAGCUUCAGGUUACAACAACUCGUACCGUAAACCGACACAGGUAGUCGAGGAGAGAAUCCUAAGGUGCUCGAGUGAUUCAUGGCUAAGGAACUAGGCAAAAUGGUCUCGUAACUUCGGGAGAAGAGACGCCAUCGCAAGCUGGCCGCAGUAAAUAGGCCCAGGCAACUGUUUAUCAAAAACACAUGGCUUUGCAAAAUCGAAAGAUGACGUAUAAGGCCUGACACCUGCCCGGUGCUGGAAGGUUAAGGGGGGAUGUUAGCCGCAAGGCGAAGCAUUGAACUGAAGCCCCAGUAAACGGCGGCCGUAACUAUAACGGUCCUAAGGUAGCGAAAUUCCUUGUCGGGUAAGUUCCGACCUGCACGAAUGGUGUAACGAUCUGGGCACUGUCUCAACCACGAGCUCGGUGAAAUUGUAGUAUCGGUGAAGAUGCCGGUUACCCGCAACGGGACGAAAAGACCCCGUGCACCUUUACUAUAGCUUCACAUUGGUUUUGGUUAUAUAUUGUGUAGGAUAGGUGGGAGACUAUGAAGCAGCGUCGCUAGGCGUUGUGGAGUCAUUGUUGAAAUACCACCCUAUAUAUAAUUGAAGUCUAACUCCCUCUAAGAGGGAGGACAGUGUGUGGUGGGUAGUUUGACUGGGGUGGUCGCCUCCAAAAAAGUAACGGAGGCUUUCAA